This 355-nucleotide ribosomal RNA is filed under the name uncultured bacterium. RNAcentral's name for it is "bacterial SSU rRNA". It matches the Rfam family "Bacterial small subunit ribosomal RNA", at positions 917 to 1267 of the family's 1533-position model. The record is from RNAcentral.
GGACCCGCACAAGUAGUGGAGCAUGUGGUUUAAUUCGAAGAUACGCGCAGAACCUUACCAACACUUGACAUGUUCGUCGCGACUCUAAGAGAUUAGAGUUUUCGGUUCGGCCGGACGAAACACAGGUGCUGCAUGGCUGUCGUCAGCUCGUGUCGUGAGAUGUUGGGUUAAGUCCCGCAACGAGCGCAACCCUCACUUUUAGUUGCCAUCAUUUAGUUGGGCACUCUGAAAGAACUGCCAGUGAUAAGCUGGAGGAAGGUGGGGAUGACGUCAAAUCAUCACGGCCCUUACGUCCUGGGCCACACACGUGCUACAAUGGUAGGUACAGAGGGAAGCCACCCCCCGCGAGGGGGAG